GUUAGGAAUCUUCCACAAUGGGGGCAACCCUGAUGGAGCAACACCGCGUGCUGGAUGAAGGCCUUCGGGUCGUGAACAGCUUUUGUAUACGAAGAAUAUGACGGUAAUAUACGAAUAAGGGUCGGCUAACUACGUGCCAGCAGCCGCGGUCAUACGUAGGACCCAAGCGUUAUCCGGAGUGACUGGGCGUAAAGAGUUGCGUAGGCGGCUUAUUAAGCGAGUAGUGAAAUCUGGUGGCUCAACCAUCAACACAUUGCUCGAACUGAUAGGCUUGAGAAUGGUAGAGGUAGUUGGAAUUUCUUGUGUAGGAGUGAAAUCCGUAGAUAUAAGAAGGAACACCAAUGGCGUAGGCAGACUACUGGACCAUUUCUGACGCUGAGGCACGAAAGCGUGGGGAGCGAACCGGAUUAGAUACCCGGGUAGUCC
RNAcentral lists this ribosomal RNA (426 nucleotides) under uncultured bacterium. RNAcentral describes it as "partial 16S ribosomal RNA". It matches the Rfam family "Bacterial small subunit ribosomal RNA", at positions 354 to 796 of the family's 1533-position model. The record is from RNAcentral.